AGAGUUUGAUCCUGGCUCAGAUUGAACGCUGGCGGCAGGCCUAACACAUGCAAGUCGAGCGGGAACUUCGGUUCUAGCGGCGGACGGGUGAGUAAUGCGUAGGAAGCUACCCGAUAGAGGGGGAUACCAGUUGGAAACGACUGUUAAUACCGCAUAAUGUCUACGGACCAAAGUGUGGGACCUUCGGGCCACAUGCUAUCGGAUGCGCCUACGUGGGAUUAGCUAGUUGGUGAGGUAAUGGCUCACCAAGGCGACGAUCCCUAGCUGGUUUGAGAGGAUGAUCAGCCACACUGGAACUGAGACACGGUCCAGACUCCUACGGGAGGCAGCAGUGGGGAAUAUUGGACAAUGGGCGCAAGCCUGAUCC
Molecule: ribosomal RNA, 367 nt
Filed under: uncultured bacterium
Lineage: Bacteria
Description: bacterial SSU rRNA
Rfam family: Bacterial small subunit ribosomal RNA
Source: RNAcentral